Molecule: ribosomal RNA, 378 nt
Filed under: Sclerophrys cf. gracilipes HCL-2014
Lineage: Eukaryota; Metazoa; Chordata; Amphibia; Anura; Bufonidae
Description: partial 12S ribosomal RNA
Rfam family: Bacterial small subunit ribosomal RNA
Source: RNAcentral
GCCCAGUCGUAAACUUUUACUUACAUUUUAAUCGCCAGGGAACUACGAGCUAAGCUUAAAACCCAAAGGACUUGACGGUACCCCACAUCCCCCUAGAGGAGCCUGUCCUAUAAUCGAUAAUCCACGUUUAACCUCACCAUUUUUAGCUAAUCAGCCUGUAUACCUCCGUCGUCAGCUUACCACGUGAGCGCCAAUUAGUGAGCCUAAUGUUAUUUCACCCACACGUCAGGUCAAGGUGCAGCAAAUGAAAUGGGAAGAGAUGGGCUACACUUUCUACUAUAGAAGAAACGAAAAACUACCUAUGAAACCUAGUUGGAAGGCGGAUUUAGCAGUAAAAAGGAAUCAGCAUAUCCAUUUUAACCCGGCACUGGGGUGUGU